UGCCAGCAGCCGCGGUAACACGAACCGGACAAACGUUAUUCGGAAUCACUGGGCUUAAAGAGUGCGUAGGCGGCCUGGCAGGUUGGGUGUGAAAGCCCUCGGCUCAACCGAGGAAUUGCGCUCAAAACCGUCAGGCUUGAGGGAGAUAGAGGAGAGCGGAACUGAUGGUGGAGCGGUGAAAUGCGUUGAUAUCAUCAGGAACACCGGUGGCGAAAGCGGCUCUCUGGGUCUCUUCUGACGCUGAGGCACGAAAGCUAGGGGAGCGAACGGGAUUAGAUA
RNAcentral lists this ribosomal RNA (279 nucleotides) under uncultured bacterium. RNAcentral describes it as "partial 16S ribosomal RNA". It matches the Rfam family "Bacterial small subunit ribosomal RNA", at positions 506 to 784 of the family's 1533-position model. The record is from RNAcentral.